Molecule: RNA transcript, 3982 nt
Organism: Vigna radiata var. radiata (mung bean)
Lineage: Eukaryota; Viridiplantae; Streptophyta; Magnoliopsida; Fabales; Fabaceae
Gene name: calmodulin-binding transcription activator 3
Exons: 13
Source: RefSeq, a predicted model, not a curated record
GGAGGCCACAACACAAAACGAGGAAGGCGCGUAGAAAAGCUUUGGCUUAUUUCGUAAGGAACAAACGCCACGUCGGACAUGUGUGAACGCUACGUGGGGUCUUUGACUUCAACUCUCCCUUUUUCUUAAGUGUCUUUCACGCGCCGCCACCGUUAUCCCUCCCUCUCUUCUCUUUUCAUUUCACUGUUCCUUCAUUUCCACCACUCUUCCCCCUUCUAUAACACUUUUUCAUUUUCCUCUUUGGCCUUUUAUUCAUCCCUUUCUUUCAAUUCAUUCAGUUCUCUGCAUUCACUUUUUCAAUUCCAUGUGUGAGAUUAUUGCUUUCUAAUGGCCGAGACCACAAAAUACAUUCCCAACUCACAAUUAGAGCUUGAAGAGAUAUUGCAAGAAGCAUCACAUCGUUGGCUUCGACCUGUUGAAAUAUGUGAGAUACUUCGGAACUAUAAGAAGUUUAAGUUAACACCAGAUCCACCUAUUAGGCCUCCAGCUGGAUCAGUAUUCCUGUUCAAUAGAAAAGCACUUCGUUAUUUUCGCAAGGAUGGUCACAGGUGGAGGAAGAAAAAAGGUGGGAAGACUGUAAGAGAAGCUCAUGAAAAGUUGAAGGUUGGUAGUGUGGAUGUCUUGCAUUGCUACUAUGCCCAUGGAGAGGAUAAUGAAAACUUCCAACGAAGAAGUUUUUGGAUGCUUGACCAGCAGUUAGAGCACGUUGUCCUUGUUCAUUAUCGUGAAAUUAAAGAGGGCUGCAAAUCUGGCAUCUCUCCUUUUCCGGUAGUUCCAGUAACCCUGGUUGGUAGCUCUCAAAAUAGUUCAGUGCUUUCCUCUACCAGAACAAACACACCAAUAUCUAUAGUUCAAACAUCUUUCACAUCAAGUGCAAAUAAAGUGGAUCAGAAUGGACACUCUUCAGAGUAUGAGGAUGUCAAUUCAAAAGAUGGUCCUCAAUCCUCCUCUCAUGCUCAGCCUAUCAGCAAUUCCGUAAUUCACAGUGCACCUUCGUUUACACAUGAAGUUGCUGGGUUUUCUGAGUUGGUGAGGAACCCCUUGAUUUCAACGUUGUCAUCUACUUUCCCUAGUUAUUCUCCUGGUACUGUCUUCUCUCAGAGGAGGUUAGUUCAGAAUUCUAGCAGAAACAAAAUUUAUAUGCAUGAUGAAAGACAUCAGACUGAAGGAUCUGUUGAAAGCUCGGAAGCUGACUUCACUGUUCAUCUGCUAAACAAUGCUAAGAUAGAUGCUGUUAACAGAAUGCAAGAUGGUGUAAUUUUCAGAGAUAGCCACAUGUACAUCCAACAAGUUGAAGAAAAUUUACUGACUGUUGGUCAGGUGCAAAACGAGGAUGGUCUAGAUAUAUUCUAUGCUCAAUUAUAUGAUCGUAAUGAUCAUCCAAUUGUUGCAACUACCAAAGCGCUAGUUGAACAGAAACUUAAAGAUGGGGAAUCAAAGCAGGCUGAAUCUGGGGAAAUCAAGAAACUUGAUAGUUUUGGAAGGUGGAUGGAUAAGGAGAUUGGUGGAGACUGCGAAAAUUCCUUGAUGGCUUCAGAUUCUAGUAAUUAUUGGAGUACACUUGGUGCUCAUAAUGAGGAUAAGGAAGUAUCUAGUUUACAACCCAUACAGUUGGAUAUGGAUUCAUUAGGCCCUUGUCUUUCCCAAGAGCAACUAUUUAGUAUCCAUGACUUUUCUCCAGAGUGGGCAUAUACUGGGGUUAGAACAAAGGUUUUAAUAGUUGGCACAUUUAUCGGAAGUAAAAAGCCCUCUAGCGAAACCAAAUGGGGAUGUAUGUUUGGUGAAAUUGAGGUUUCUGCUGAAGCUUUAGCAGGUAAUGUGAUACAGUGUCAGACUCCUUUGCACUCAUCUGGCCGUGUACCAUUCUAUGUUACCUGCAGUAAUAGGUUAGCUUGCAGUGAGGUCAGGGAAUUUCAAUUUGAUGAACAUCCAACCAAAAUUUUAGGUCCUUUGGGUAUUAAAAUCUCACCAGAAGUUGAGGUCCGACUUCAAAUACGACUUCUUAAACUAGUAGACUUGGGACCUGACAAUAAUUUGUUGGACUGCUCUGUUUCUGGUUGUGAAAAAUGUAAACUCAAGGGAAUAAUGUAUUCCGUGAGAGGUGAUAGUGGAGUAUUUAAAGAAACUUUCCAGAUUGAUGGAAUCGAUCAUAUAAACCCGAGAAAUGUACUAUUUCAGAGAUUAAUGAGAGACAAGCUUUAUGAGUGGUUGAUAUACAAGGUUCAUGAAGGAGGAAAAGGAUUACAUGUGUUGGAUGCUGGGGGCCAAGGAGUAAUACAUUUAGCAGCUGCACUUGGUUAUGUGUGGGCUAUGGCCCCGUUGGUUGCUGCUGGUAUCAGUCCUAACUUCAGAGACAAUCCUGGAAGAACAGGACUUCAUUGGGCUUCGUAUUUUGGGAGAGAAGAAACUGUUAUUGCUCUUGUCAAAUUAGGCGCAGCACCAGGUGCUGUUGAGGAUCCAACUUCAGCACUUCCUCCAGGUCAAACAGCUGCUGAUUUAGCUUCAAGUAGAGGACAUAAAGGCAUUGCUGGGUAUUUGGCCGAGGUGGAUCUGAUAAAUCGAUUAUCUAUACUGACUGCCAAGGAAAAUGAGACUGGUAACAUUGCCACAACCAUAGCAACUGACAGUGCUUUUCAGUCUGCUGAAGAUGAUUCGUCUAAUUUUACAAUGGAUGAGCAACACUAUGUCAAAGAGUCCCUUGCUGUGUUUCGAAAAUCAGCUCAUGCAGCUGCUUCAAUCCUAGCAGCCUUUAGAGCAAGGUCAUUCUGUCAGAGACAAUUAGCCAAAAGUGGAAGUGAUAUCUCAGACUCGGUACUCGACAUAGUUGCCGAUUCUUUGAGCAAGGUACAGAACAUGUAUCACUUUGAGGAUUAUUUACAUUUUGCGGCCUUAAAGAUUCAAAAGAGAUAUCGUGGAUGGAAAGGAAGAAAGGACUUUUUGAAGAUACGCAACCGCAUUGUAAAAAUCCAGGCUCGUAUCAGAGGACAGCAAGUUCAAAAGCAAUACAAAAAAGUUGUGUGGUCUGUUAGCAUUGUGGAAAAAGCAAUACUUCGUUGGAGACGGAAAGGAGCUGGUCUGCGAGGAUUCCAGGGAGGGCAGCCGGUUGGCAUUGAUGAAUAUGACUUUCUUAGUGAUGGGAGGAGACAGAAAUCAGAUGAUGUAAAGAAAGCUCUCGAUAGAGUCAAGUCCAUGGUUCGUAACCCAGAUGCAAGGGAUCAGUACAUGAGGCUCAUCAUGAAAUACCAGAAUUUUAAGAUUGAUGAUAGCGGAAGCACUCAAUCACGUGUCGAUUAGACUCCAGAGGAAGGAAAAAGCAGUACUGAGCACUUUUUGUUUCCAACAGAUACUACAUACAGGUCUGGUUGUGGUUGCAAGUGGUGGAGAGACUGCGUCACUCGCGUCUGGGCUUCUCGGAGGUUGGCUGCGGUGGAGAUUGGGCUUGUGCAGGUGGUGGCCGAGGCAUCAUGCGGCGACUUUGUAGCGCUAGUGGAGCACGGUGGCUUGUGCGCUUUCUGUUGCUGGGUUGGUUUUUUUUCUGAGUGCAGGUUUGAAGAUGGUUGACCAUGGAGGUUGAACGAUGGCAUGGUAGCGAUGCGAACAGAUGAGCUCGCGAGAGGAAGGAGAAUGUUGUGGUGGUGUGACUUUGUGGUGGCGAGAUGAUGAUGGCAGUGAUUGCUGUGCGACGGCGACCUUGGACGAGCUCAUGGUGGCCGGUAAGAGUCGCUGGGUGGCUGCCAUGGAGGAGGUAGCGACGCAGGAGAAGGAAUUUUUCCACUUUCCCCCAAUCCGAAACCCUAAUUUUGGGUGGGGAAGACGUGGCAGGUAGUGGACAGACAAAAUGUGACAAUGCCGUUAGCCACCUCACCAAAAAAUUAACGCUAUCCAAAUUUAGGGACUACUCGUACAUGUUUCCAUAUUAGAAGGACGAAAUGCCAUCAAUGCAGGGACUAAAAUAAAAAAUCAGUGAAACUUCAGGAACUAA